This is a non-coding RNA of Triticum aestivum (bread wheat), 135 nucleotides long. NCBI's taxonomy places the organism in Eukaryota, Viridiplantae, Streptophyta, Magnoliopsida, Poales, Poaceae. The record is from Rfam.
UAAAUACUUCCUCCAUCUUAAAAUAUUUGUCAUCAAAAUAAAUAAAAGAAAAUGUACCUAGACGUAUUUUAGUUCUAGAUACACCCUUCUUUAUUCAUUUUGGUGACAUGUAUUUUUGAACGAAGGAAGUACAAG